This 1497-nucleotide ribosomal RNA is filed under the name Salmonella enterica subsp. enterica. RNAcentral's name for it is "partial 23S ribosomal RNA". It matches the Rfam family "Bacterial large subunit ribosomal RNA", at positions 1467 to 2925 of the family's 2925-position model. The record is from RNAcentral. Lineage: Bacteria; Pseudomonadati; Pseudomonadota; Gammaproteobacteria; Enterobacterales; Enterobacteriaceae.
GGGGGACGGAGAAGGCUAUGUUGGCCGGGCGACGGUUGUCCCGGUUUAAGCGUGUAGGUGUGUGUUCCAGGUAAAUCCGGUUCACUUUAACACUGAGGCGUGACGACGAGGCACUACGGUGCUGAAGCAACAAAUGCCCUGCUUCCAGGAAAAGCCUCUAAGCAUCAGGUAACACGAAAUCGUACCCCAAACCGACACAGGUGGUCAGGUAGAGAAUACCAAGGCGCUUGAGAGAACUCGGGUGAAGGAACUAGGCAAAAUGGUGCCGUAACUUCGGGAGAAGGCACGCUGACACGUAGGUGAAGUGAUUUACUCACGGAGCUGAAGUCAGUCGAAGAUACCAGCUGGCUGCAACUGUUUAUUAAAAACACAGCACUGUGCAAACACGAAAGUGGACGUAUACGGUGUGACGCCUGCCCGGUGCCGGAAGGUUAAUUGAUGGGGUCAGCGUAAGCGAAGCUCCUGAUCGAAGCCCCGGUAAACGGCGGCCGUAACUAUAACGGUCCUAAGGUAGCGAAAUUCCUUGUCGGGUAAGUUCCGACCUGCACGAAUGGCGUAAUGAUGGCCAGGCUGUCUCCACCCGAGACUCAGUGAAAUUGAACUCGCUGUGAAGAUGCAGUGUACCCGCGGCAAGACGGAAAGACCCCGUGAACCUUUACUAUAGCUUGACACUGAACAUUGAGCCUUGAUGUGUAGGAUAGGUGGGAGGCUUUGAAGUGUGGACGCCAGUCUGCAUGGAGCCGACCUUGAAAUACCACCCUUUAAUGUUUGAUGUUCUAACGUGGACCCGUAAUCCGGGUUGCGGACAGUGUCUGGUGGGUAGUUUGACUGGGGCGGUCUCCUCCUAAAGAGUAACGGAGGAGCACGAAGGUUGGCUAAUCCUGGUCGGACAUCAGGAGGUUAGUGCAAUGGCAUAAGCCAGCUUGACUGCGAGCGUGACGGCGCGAGCAGGUGCGAAAGCAGGUCAUAGUGAUCCGGUGGUUCUGAAUGGAAGGGCCAUCGCUCAACGGAUAAAAGGUACUCCGGGGAUAACAGGCUGAUACCGCCCAAGAGUUCAUAUCGACGGCGGUGUUUGGCACCUCGAUGUCGGCUCAUCACAUCCUGGGGCUGAAGUAGGUCCCAAGGGUAUGGCUGUUCGCCAUUUAAAGUGGUACGCGAGCUGGGUUUAGAACGUCGUGAGACAGUUCGGUCCCUAUCUGCCGUGGGCGCUGGAGAACUGAGGGGGGCUGCUCCUAGUACGAGAGGACCGGAGUGGACGCAUCACUGGUGUUCGGGUUGUCAUGCCAAUGGCACUGCCCGGUAGCUAAAUGCGGAAGAGAUAAGUGCUGAAAGCAUCUAAGCACGAAACUUGCCCCGAGAUGAGUUCUCCCUGAGACUUAGAGUCUCCUGAAGGAACGUUGAAGACGACGACGUUGAUAGGCCGGGUGUGUAAGCGCAGCGAUGCGUUGAGCUAACCGGUACUAAUGAACCGUGAGGCUUAACCUUACAACGCCGAAG